AACAGUAUGACUAUGAAGUUGUUGGCAUUCCUACUUAUUUUGGUGAUAAUCGUGGUCUUGCUGGCAAUGGUUCAGGCAGGGCCUCAACUUGGAUUCGCGGGUGGACCGAUAGACUGCUGCUGUUGGAAUGGAUUGAGAUGCACGUGUAGAUGUGCUAGAUAAUGUGAAAAACUAAUCAAUUAUCAUUUAACCCAGACGCCAGGACUACAGUUUUGACAAAAGUGUAUACUUUCAGUGUUUUCGGAAACAUUUAGUUAUUUCCAAUGUAUACUAACGAGCGUGCAUUUUUUUUGUGUGUCACAGUCUAAAACAAAUGUCAGUUUUACGAAAUGUUUUAUUUGUAGUUCAUAAAAUGUUAAUUGCUCUGAAUUAAAAAAAGAAAGGUCUUCUUAUGUAAAACAGUUAUCAGGUUAAACUUUAUUCUUUCGGCAGAAAAGUUCUAAUUGCAGCUUUUAUUAAAUCAUAGUAUUGAAUAACA
This is a long non-coding RNA of Saccostrea echinata, 478 nucleotides long. RefSeq lists it as uncharacterized. Lineage: Eukaryota; Metazoa; Mollusca; Bivalvia; Ostreida; Ostreidae. The record is from RefSeq and is a predicted model, not a curated record. The transcript has 2 exons.